RNAcentral lists this ribosomal RNA (533 nucleotides) under uncultured bacterium. RNAcentral describes it as "bacterial SSU rRNA". It matches the Rfam family "Bacterial small subunit ribosomal RNA", at positions 777 to 1304 of the family's 1533-position model. The record is from RNAcentral.
AAUAGAUACCCAGGUAGUCCACGCCGUAAACGAUGAGUGCUAAGUGUUAGAGGGUUUCCGCCCUUUAGUGCUGCAGCUAACGCAUUAAGCACUCCGCCUGGGGAGUACGGUCGCAAGACUGAAACUCAAAGGAAGUUGACGGGGGCCCGCACAAGCGGUGGAGCAUGUGGUUUAAUUCGAAGCAACGCGAAGAACCUUACCAGGUCUUGACAUCCCACUGACCGGUAUAGAGAUAUACCUUUCCCUUCGGGGACAGUGGUGACAGGUGGUGCAUGGUUGUCGUCAGCUCGUGUCGUGAGAUGUUGGGUUAAGUCCCGCAACGAGCGCAACCCUUGAUCUUAGUUGCCAGCAUUUAGUUGGGCACUCUAAGGUGACUGCCGGUGACAAACCGGAGGAAGGUGGGGAUGGACGGUCAAAUCAUCAUGCCCCUUAUGACCUGGGCUACACACGUGCUACAAUGGAUGGUACAAAGGGCUGCAAGACUGCGAAGUCAAGCCAAUCCCAUAAAAACCAUUCUCAGUUCGGAUUGCAGG